GGUGUUUGCGGUUAAGGUUUUCCCGCCUAUAUUGGGUGUGUCUUCGCAAGAAGACUAUGGUGAUAAACCCUCGCGUAAUAAGCAGACCGGACCCGGGGGCAGUGCCCGGCGGCUCCACCAGAUUUCACUCCGGGCAUUGGCCGGACUGUCUGGGGCCGACACAGGAUCGACGGAUGUGUAAAGGUGAAGACUUUACCCGCUUUGGCCCCGAUAGAAGCCUUUUACGCAAUAGUUGCCAAUGACAACUUUGCUCAGGAAGCUCGCCUCGCUGCGUAAGCAGCUGGUGAUUUCCAAACCUAAGUCCUUAGCUCUAGCAAGUUAAGGCGGGGCUCGGGGCGGCGCCUGGCAACAGAAGCCGCCCCACU
RNAcentral lists this transfer-messenger RNA (365 nucleotides) under Alphaproteobacteria bacterium 32-64-14. It matches the Rfam family "Alphaproteobacteria transfer-messenger RNA". From Rfam's summary of the family: Bacterial tmRNA, also known as 10Sa RNA or SsrA, is named for its dual tRNA and mRNA-like properties. Its role is to liberate the mRNA from a stalled ribosome. To accomplish this part of the tmRNA is used as a reading frame that ends in a translation stop signal. Lineage: Bacteria; Pseudomonadati; Pseudomonadota; Alphaproteobacteria. The record is from RNAcentral.